RNAcentral lists this ribosomal RNA (632 nucleotides) under uncultured bacterium. Its description in RNAcentral is "bacterial SSU rRNA". The stretch from base 1 to 533 matches the Rfam family "Bacterial small subunit ribosomal RNA", at positions 338 to 873 of the family's 1533-position model. The record is from RNAcentral.
CCUACGGGAGCAGCAGUGAGGAAUAUUGGACAAUGGGCGCAAGCCUGAUCCAGCCAUGCCGCGUGCAGGAAGAAGCAUCUAUGGUGUGUAAACUGCUUUUGUACGGGAAGAAACACCUCUACGUGUAGAGGCUUGACGGUACCGUAAGAAUAAGGAUCGGCUAACUCCGUGCCAGCAGCCGCGGUAAUACGGAGGAUCCAAGCGUUAUCCGGAAUCAUUGGGUUUAAAGGGUCCGUAGGCGGUUUGAUAAGUCAGUGGUGAAAGCCCAUCGCUCAACGAUGGAACGGCCAUUGAUACUGUCAGACUUGAAUUACUAGGAAGUAACUAGAAUAUGUAGUGUAGCGGUGAAAUGCUUAGAUAUUACAUGGAAUACCAAUUGCGAAGGCAGGUUACUACUAGUGGAUUGACGCUGAUGGACGAAAGCGUGGGGAGCGAACAGGAUUAGAUACCCUGGUAGUCCACGCCGUAAACGAUGGAUACUAGCUGUUGGGAGCAAUCUCAGUGCGUAGACGAAGUAGAGUAAGUAUACCACCGUCGGGAGGUACGUUACGUCGAGAAGUAGAAACGUUAAAGUUAAGUAAGUUAGUACGACGUGAGACGUACGACCGACGGACGACGACGAGGGGAGGAGG